AUUGAACGCUGGCGGCAUGCUUUACACAUGCAAGUCGAACGGCAGCGCGGGCUUCGGCCUGGCGGCGAGUGGCGAACGGGUGAGUAAUGCAUCGGAACGUGCCCAGUAGUGGGGGAUAGCCCGGCGAAAGCCGGAUUAAUACCGCAUACGACCUGAGGGUGAAAGCGGGGGACCGAAAGGCCUCGCGCUAUUGGUGCGGCCGAUGUCGGAUUAGCUAGUUGGUGGGGUAAAGGCUUACCAAGGCGACGAUCCGUAGCUGGUCUGAGAGGACGACCAGCCACACUGGGACUGAGACACGGCCCAGACUCCUACGAGAGGCAGCAGUGGGGAAUUUUGGACAAUGGGGGCAACCCUGAUCCAGCCAUGCCGCGUGCGGGAAGAAGGCCUUCGGGUUGUAAACCGCUUUUGUUCGGGAAGAAAUCCUCUGGGCUAAUACCCCGGGGGGAUGACGGUACCGGAAGAAUAAGCACCGGCUAACUACGUG
Molecule: ribosomal RNA, 484 nt
Filed under: uncultured bacterium
Lineage: Bacteria
Description: partial 16S ribosomal RNA
Rfam family: Bacterial small subunit ribosomal RNA
Source: RNAcentral